Molecule: ribosomal RNA, 615 nt
Filed under: uncultured bacterium
Lineage: Bacteria
Description: bacterial SSU rRNA
Rfam family: Bacterial small subunit ribosomal RNA
Source: RNAcentral
AGCGAACAGGAUUAGAUACCCUGGUAGUCCACGCCGUAAACGAUGAGUGCUAGGUGUNGGAUCCUUUCCGGGAUUCAGUGCCGCAGCUAACGCAUUAAGCACUCCGCCUGGGGAGUACGACCGCAAGGUUGAAACUCAAAGGAAUUGACGGGGGCCCGCACAAGCGGUGGAGCAUGUGGUUUAAUUCGAAGCAACGCGAAGAACCUUACCAGGUCUUGACAUCCCGAUGCUAUUUCUAGAGAUAGAAAGUUACUUCGGUACAUCGGUGACAGGUGGUGCAUGGUUGUCGUCAGCUCGUGUCGUGAGAUGUUGGGUUANNNNNNNNANCGAGCGCAACCCCUAUUGUUAGUUGCCAUCAUUCAGUUGGGCACUCUAGCGAGACUGCCGGUAAUAAACCGGAGGAAGGUGGGGAUGACGUCAAAUCAUCAUGCCCCUUAUGACCUGGGCUACACACGUGCUACAAUGGUUGGUACAACGAGUUGCGAGUCGGUGACGGCAAGCUAAUCUCUUAAAGCCAAUCUCAGUUCGGAUUGUAGGCUGCAACUCGCCUACAUGAAGUCGGAAUCGCUAGUAAUCGCGGAUCAGCACGCCGCGGUGAAUACGUUCCCGGGCCUU